GCCGGGCGUGGUGGCGCGCGCCUGUAGUCCCAGCUACUCGGGAGGCUGAGGCAGGAGGAUCGCUUGAGCCCAGGAGUUCUGGGCUGUAGUGCGCUAUGCCGAUCGGGUGUCCGCACUAAGUUCGGCAUCAAUAUGGUGACCUCCCGGGAGCGGGGGACCACCAGGUUGUCUAAGGAGGGGUGAACCGGCCCAGGUCGGAAACGGAGCAGGUCAAAACUCCCGUGCUGAUCAGUAGUGGGAUCGCGCCUGUGAAUAGCCACUGCACUCCAGCCUGGGCAACAUAGCGAGACCCCGUCUCUU
Molecule: signal recognition particle RNA, 300 nt
Filed under: Phocoena sinus (vaquita)
Lineage: Eukaryota; Metazoa; Chordata; Mammalia; Artiodactyla; Phocoenidae
Description: Metazoan signal recognition particle RNA (ENSPSNG00000000342.1)
Rfam family: Metazoan signal recognition particle RNA
About the family: The signal recognition particle (SRP) is a universally conserved ribonucleoprotein. It is involved in the co-translational targeting of proteins to membranes.
Source: Rfam by way of RNAcentral